RNAcentral lists this ribosomal RNA (497 nucleotides) under uncultured bacterium. Its description in RNAcentral is "partial 16S ribosomal RNA". It matches the Rfam family "Bacterial small subunit ribosomal RNA", at positions 28 to 507 of the family's 1533-position model. The record is from RNAcentral.
GAUGAACGCUGGCGGCGUGCCUAAUACAUGCAAGUCGAGCGAACGGACGAGAAGCUUGCUUCUCUGAUGUUAGCGGCGGACGGGUGAGUAACACGUGGAUAACCUACCUAUAAGACUGGGAUAACUUCGGGAAACCGGAGCUAAUACCGGAUGAUAUUUUGAACCGCAUGGUUCAAUAGUGAAAGACGGUCUUGCUGUCACUUAUAGAUGGAUCCGCGCUGCAUUAGCUAGUUGGUAAGGUAACGGCUUACCGAGGCAACGAUGCGUAGCCGACCUGAGAGGGUGAUCGGCCACACUGGAACUGAGACACGGUCCAGACUCCUACGGGAGGCAGCAGUAGGGAAUCUUCCGCAAUGGGCGAAAGCCUGACGGAGCAACGCCGCGUGAGUGAUGAAGGUCUUCGGAUCGUAAAACUCUGUUAUUAGGGAAGAACAUAUGUGUAAGUAACUAUGCACAUCUUGACGGUACCUAAUCAGAAAGCCACGGCUAACUACGUG